This 82-nucleotide transfer RNA is filed under the name Bacteroidales bacterium. RNAcentral describes it as "tRNA-Leu". It matches the Rfam family "tRNA". Rfam says of the family: Transfer RNA (tRNA) molecules are approximately 80 nucleotides in length. Their secondary structure includes four short double-helical elements and three loops (D, anti-codon, and T loops). Lineage: Bacteria; Pseudomonadati; Bacteroidota; Bacteroidia; Bacteroidales. The record is from RNAcentral. RNAcentral also lists the same sequence under 1 other name.
GCCCGGGUGGCGAAAUUGGUAGACGCGCUAGUUUCAGGUUCUAGUGCCGCGAGGUUUGCAGGUUCGACUCCUGUCCCGGGUA